This 492-nucleotide ribosomal RNA is filed under the name uncultured bacterium. RNAcentral describes it as "partial 16S ribosomal RNA". It matches the Rfam family "Bacterial small subunit ribosomal RNA", at positions 29 to 507 of the family's 1533-position model. The record is from RNAcentral.
AGUGAACGCUGGCGGUAGGCCUAACACAUGCAAGUCGAACGGCAGCACAGUAAGAGCUUGCUCUUACGGGUGGCGAGUGGCGGACGGGUGAGGAAUACAUCGGAAUCUACUUUUUCGUGGGGGAUAACGUAGGGAAACUUACGCUAAUACCGCAUACGACCUACGGGUGAAAGCAGGGGAUCUUCGGACCUUGCGCGAUUGAAUGAGCCGAUGUCGGAUUAGCUAGUUGGCGGGGUAAAGGCCCACCAAGGCGACGAUCCGCAGCUGGUCUGAGAGGAUGAUCAGCCACACUGGAAAUGAGACACGGUCCAGACUCCUACGGGAGGCAGCAGUGGGGAAUAUUGGACAAUGGGCGCAAGCCUGAUCCAGCCAUACCGCGUGGGUGAAGAAGGCCUUCGGGUUGUAAAGCCCUUUUGUUGGGAAAGAAAAGCAGCAGGUUAAUACCCCGCUGUUCUGACGGUACCCAAAGAAUAAGCACCGGCUAACUUCGUG